RNAcentral lists this ribosomal RNA (619 nucleotides) under uncultured bacterium. RNAcentral's name for it is "bacterial SSU rRNA". The stretch from base 1 to 522 matches the Rfam family "Bacterial small subunit ribosomal RNA", at positions 338 to 873 of the family's 1533-position model. The record is from RNAcentral.
CCUACGGGAGGCAGCAGUGGGGAAUAUUGGGCAAUGGAGGAAACUCUGACCCAGCGACGCCGCGUGCGGGAUGAAGGCCUUCGGGUUGUAAACCGCUUUCAGUAGGGAAGAAGCGAAAGUGACGGUACCUACAGAAGAAGCACCGGCUAACUAUGUGCCAGCAGCCGCGGUAAUACAUAGGGUGCAAGCGUUGUCCGGAAUUAUUGGGCGUAAAGAGCUCGUAGGUGGUUCGUCACGUCGGAUGUGAAAAUCUGGGGCUCAACCCCAGACCUGCAUUCGAUACGGGCGAUCUAGAGUGUGGUAGGGGAGACCGGAAUUCCUGGUGCAGCGGUGGAAUGCGCAGAUAUCAGGAGGAACACCAAUGGCGAAGGCAGGUCUCUGGGCCAUUACUGACACUGAGGAGCGAAAGCGUGGGGAGCGAACAGGAUUAGAUACCCUGGUAGUCCACGCCGUAAACGGUGGGCACUAGUUGUGGGAACCUUCCACGGUUUCUGCGACGCNGCUACGCAUAGUACGCCCGCCGUCGGGAGGUACGAGUCGCGAGAAGUUAAACGUAACUAAAUAGUAAGUUAGUUACGGUCGUUGAGACGUUGCCGACGGACGACGACGAGGGAGGAGG